UUCCCAAAGUGCUGGGAUUACAGGCGUGAGCCACCGUACCCGGCCAACAUGUUUGGCUUUAAGAGGAACUGCCAUACCCGUCUUCCCAGCCGAGGCCUCCGCCCGCACCCCCCACCACCCAACUCAGCUCGUCAUAACUCACAGGCCGGGUCCAGGGUGCCAGGAAUGCCACUGAGGCUGGCAGAGUCCUAAAAGGGAGUGGCAGGUGCUGCUCCACAAGGACGGUUGUCCACCCUCAAUGAGGGCUGCAGGGCAACUGCUGACUGUCUGGCAGCCAGAGGACAGGGACAGGCAGCCACCCUCUUGCCAUGACCACACCUGGGUCUCCCUCAGUGUGGCUCCCGAGGGGCCGUUGAACACAGUGUUGAGAACUGCUGAGAAAAUCACACCAAAGACGAACUACCCACAGAUGCCAGUCACCACUCCAGGGUGACGAGAAAGAGAACACACAGGCGGCAGCGUGACAAAAUGAGUCCCAGCAUGCUACAUCUGGUUUCGGGUUUUAUUUUAGAAUUUAUAAAAUUCCAGUGUCAUCCAUAUUCAUGAGCCUUUACACAUGUUUGCAUAUAAUCUCCAAAUUCCAAAGUUAAGGCCAAGGGAUGGAUUGUAGCUAUGGAAACAGAUGAUAUGGAAGACAUCCAACAAGGAGGAAAAGCACACGCACGCCUCACCCCUGCCUCAUCUCUGCCCAGGGCUGUCCUGACAGCACAGACGCUUCAGGGAGACAGGCCUGGGGACAGUCAUGUCAUCACCCUUGCAACAACCACCCAAAGGAAAAGAGAGCGCUGAACAGUUUAGGAAAGGGCUCGCGUCUAAGACAUCAAGCGACAUACAGAGAUGUGCAAAACUUGGUGAGAAUUAAAAUUGACCUUUGGGAGAGGGUAGGGGCAGGAUGUUUUAUGACACUGUAGAAAAGACAGGAGGAACCCGCUGCGAUGGAGAUUGGGGGGAGCUGGAAGCAAGCAGCCAACAGGACAGAGUUCCAGAACUCAUGCAGAUGGGGAAGAGGUGACAGCCCUUCCCCACUGGCCUCCCCCGUGGAGGUGGAGUAGACAGAUCCCGGGAAAGGCAGGAAAAGGGCCUUGCUUUCUUUCCCUGUUUCCUAAGCCGUGGUCACCCUAGCCUAUGAAGCUGGAAGCUAUAUUCCUUCCAAUCCCAAUUUACCAUUCCUGUAAACAGGCCCAUUCAGGGCUGCCUGAGCAAAUGGGGACUUGCCGAGGCAGCUGCAACUAGACUUGGGCUAAGCCGUCUGGGUCUACUCAAGAAUUCGAGUCUGAAGAUGACCAAGCUUGAGUUAUUCAACUGAGAGUGAGGUGUCAAGGCGGAAGCGACUGUCCCCAGGGAAGGGCUGUGAGAUGGAUGGGCGUGAGUCAGCUUUUCCAAAACUCAAGUACCUGGGACAGGACAACUCGCUAGCAGCUCAGUCACCUCCGUGGCGGACACAGAUAAGGAUGUUAAGACCAGAAAACCAGAGACUAGGGCCCCGUCCUCAGCCCUCACAGCAUGACACAGAUGCCUCCCUCGGAGAGCAGGGUCUCUCGGCAUCCAGCGGCGUGGUCUGCAUUCUGCUCUACCUCAUGCUCUAGGCCCCAUGCCAUCGUCUCGGCCCUAGACCGUGAAAACUGCCAGUCACCCGGGACCUGCUCCUAGGGGCUGGCCUGCACAGCCGGAUGGCCUGUGGGCGGGGUGGAAGUGCCCACUCCCACUCCAGAUGGGCCUGCUGGCCACUGACCCACCUGUGCUGAGGGAGAGCGCCAGCCUCCAGCUUAGGUACACGGCGCCCACCCCCAGCUCCACGGGAAACCCAUAACCACCAGAAACAUCUCAAUCAAGAGACGGGUGUGUGGGGUGGCACUAACUGCACAGAGACCACUCCACGCCGGCUGAGGUAGAAAGAAGGCAACUGAACACACAGCAGCUAGGGCAGGGGCAGGGAGGGGCUGCAGGUGGUGUGAAGAAGAGCCCAGCUGUCAUCUAAGGCAAACUGCCCCCACUGAGGACAAGCGUAAGGCCCUACCUCCCCCAACCUGUGCGCAUCUCAAUCACAGCAGACACUGUGACGGCCACAGGGGACCCAGAUGGUGCCUACCACCUUGCCUCCAGGCUCCACUCACCAGACCUCAGGCUGAGGGUCUGGCAGUGGAGGUAGGGGCAGGGACCCUUGGUGCUUUCAGACCCCACGGCAGGUAAAAUCAGGACUGCCUGAGAACCCGUCACCCUCUGCCUCUCAGGUCACCCCCCAGCUCCAGGAACCUGCCUCCUGCUGUCCAUUGCCAGGUCUUCCUUGCACCCUGACACCUGUGCUGAGGCGCUCUGGCAGCUGGAGGAGGCUGAUUGCACUCCACAAACAGGACUGUCUGGACCAAGGGAAACUGGCAGGAGGGAGGUGGGAAAGGAAGAGGGCAAACGUUUGGCUUUUAUAAAGUCAAG
Long non-coding RNA from Homo sapiens (human), 2430 nucleotides. RefSeq lists it as uncharacterized. The record is from RefSeq and is a predicted model, not a curated record. The transcript has 2 exons. Lineage: Eukaryota; Metazoa; Chordata; Mammalia; Primates; Hominidae.